Molecule: ribosomal RNA, 440 nt
Filed under: uncultured bacterium
Lineage: Bacteria
Description: partial 16S ribosomal RNA
Rfam family: Bacterial small subunit ribosomal RNA
Source: RNAcentral
CCUACGGGGGACAGCAGUGGGGAAUAUUGCACAAUGGGGGAAACCCUGAUGCAGCGACGCCGCGUGAGUGAAGAAGUAAUUCGGUAUGUAAAGCUCUAUCAGCAGGGAAGAAAAUGACGGUACCUGAGUAAGAAGCCCCGGCUAACUACGUGCCAGCAGCCGCGGUAAUACGUAGGGGGCAAGCGUUAUCCGGAUUUACUGGGUGUAAAGGGAGCGUAGACGGCAGUGCAAGUCUGGAGUGAAAGGCGGGGGCUCAACCCCCGGACUGCUCUGGAAACUGUACGGCUGGAGUGCAGGAGAGGUAAGUGGAAUUCCUAGUGUAGCGGUGAAAUGCGUAGAUAUUAGGAGGAACACCAGUGGCGAAGGCGGCUUACUGGACUGUAACUGACGUUGAGGCUCGAAAGCGUGGGGAGCAAACAGGAUUAGAUACCCGUGUAGUC